This 75-nucleotide transfer RNA is filed under the name Rhodospirillales bacterium. Its description in RNAcentral is "tRNA-Gln". It matches the Rfam family "tRNA". Rfam says of the family: Transfer RNA (tRNA) molecules are approximately 80 nucleotides in length. Lineage: Bacteria; Pseudomonadati; Pseudomonadota; Alphaproteobacteria; Rhodospirillales. The record is from RNAcentral.
UGGGGCGUCGUAUAAUGGCUAUUACGUCCGGCUCUGACCCGGAAAAUUGGGGUUCAAAUCCCUGCGCCCCAGCCA